CAGCAGCCGCGGUAAUACGUAGGGGGCAAGCGUUAUCCGGAAUUAUUGGGCGUAAAGCGAGCGCAGGUGGUUUCUUAAGUCUGACGUGAAAGCCCACGGCUCAACCGUGGAGGGUCAUUGGAAACUGGGAGACUUGAGUGCAGAAGAGGAAAGUGGAAUUGCCAUGUGUAGCGGUGAAAUGCGUAGAGAUAUGGAGGAACACCAGUGGCGAAGGCGACUUUCUGGUCUGGAACUGACGCUGAGGCGCGAAAGCGUGGGGAGCAAACAGGAUUAGAUACCCUAGUCAGUUCCACGCCGUUAAACGAUGAGUGAUUAAGUGUUAGGAGGGUUCCCGACCCAUUAGGGCUGCAAGCUGAACUGCAUUAAGGCACGCCGCCAGGG
This 381-nucleotide ribosomal RNA is filed under the name uncultured Bacillus sp. RNAcentral describes it as "bacterial SSU rRNA". It matches the Rfam family "Bacterial small subunit ribosomal RNA", at positions 509 to 877 of the family's 1533-position model. Lineage: Bacteria; Bacillati; Bacillota; Bacilli; Caryophanales; Bacillaceae. The record is from RNAcentral.